GAUGAACGCUGGCGGCGUGCCCAAUACAUGCAAGUCGAGCGAACAGACGAGGAGCUUGCUCCUCUGACGUUAGCGGCGGACGGGUGAGUAACACGUGGAUAACCUACCUAUAAGACUGGGAUAACUUCGGGAAACCGGAGCUAAUACCGGAUAACAUGUUGAACCGCAUGGUUCAACAGUGAAAGACGGUCUUUCUGUCACUUAUAGAUGGAUCCGCGCCGCAUUAGCUAGUUGGUAAGGUAACGGCUUACCAAGGCAACGAUGCGUAGCCGACCUGAGAGGGUGAUCGGCCACACUGGAACUGAGACACGGUCCAGACUCCUACGGGAGGCAGCAGUAGGGAAUCUUCCGCAAUGGGCGAAAGCCUGACGGAGCAACGCCGCGUGAGUGAAGAAGGUCUUCGGAUCGUAAAACUCUGUUAUUAGGGAAGAACAAAUGUGUAAGUAACUAUGCACGUCUUGACGGUACCUAAUCAGAAAGCCACGGCUAACUACGUG
RNAcentral lists this ribosomal RNA (497 nucleotides) under uncultured bacterium. Its description in RNAcentral is "partial 16S ribosomal RNA". It matches the Rfam family "Bacterial small subunit ribosomal RNA", at positions 28 to 507 of the family's 1533-position model. The record is from RNAcentral.